CUCCGCCUAGGAGAGUGAGGAAAGUUGCAGGAAAGAAAAUGCGAGGAAACAAUUCCAAUAUUUGAUGUUGACAGACAACAAUUGCUAUUGCUCAUCUGGAUGAGAUAAUUUAGGGUUUUGGAGUGCCUGGAAGAUGGUAUGUAAGAUGACCUGUUUUUACCUGUUCUUGACUGAAGAUGUGAUGAGUAUCAUGGAGGCAAUCCUGUGGUAGAAUCAGUUUUAAACAUGCUUGAAUGUGAAUAUUGACACAACAGUUCAGAUUCAACCCCAUCCAGUGUCUGAACUACUUGUUGCAAAACAUGGAAAAGUUCACGGGUAUGUUUUCUUUUUGCAACAACCUCAUCCCGUUCCUGCAAUAGCUCUUCAAAAAGGCUUUCCCUGUAAAGUUUUUGUAUGAAGGUAUUAUGAAGUUCCCUCUUUGCAUGAUUGACCAAAAAGUGCAUUAUAGCUUUAGGAACUAAGUCUUGAAUGGUAUCCUUGACUACAUCAAAGUAAGACCUCAAAAGCAAUUUGGUUACAAUUAUUUCCACCGCUUCAUCAUGCUCUGUCACUUCUAGCGGCCUCAAGAUGGAUGGAGGCUCUCUCAAUUGGAUUGUUGAUGAUGAAUGCUUUGUACUAUUUAAAGUUCCACCAAGAGAUUUGCUAGAUGAAUUUGUUAAUGAUCCACUGGAUGAAUUCUCAUUGGAUGAUGCCUUGCUACCGAACACUGAAGGAAUGCCCCAACCCCUGGAUGAAUUACCACCUGGAUAAAUAACUGACGAAGUUAGCUCAUGCAAAUGGA
Molecule: unclassified non-coding RNA, 781 nt
Filed under: Hevea brasiliensis (rubber tree)
Lineage: Eukaryota; Viridiplantae; Streptophyta; Magnoliopsida; Malpighiales; Euphorbiaceae
Source: RNAcentral